This 2257-nucleotide long non-coding RNA is filed under the name Homo sapiens (human). RNAcentral describes it as "HSALNT0137217". The record is from RNAcentral. Lineage: Eukaryota; Metazoa; Chordata; Mammalia; Primates; Hominidae.
CUGAAAAGCAAGGGUAAGAGGGGACAUCCUUGCCUUUGUUCCUGAUCUUAACAGGAAAGCUACUAUUUUCUCACCAGCAGGGGUUUUGAAGCAGUAGAAGAAACCUAAGACUUCAACCCUAAGUUACUCUGGGCUGGACCAAGGCUUUUUUGCAUACUCAGAGACCAGUAGAGCUCUGGCUCAUUGAAACAAACUUGGGCAGUCUUCACAGUGCUAGCGCUUGUGCAGAACAGGAUGUUGAAGACGCCCCAUCGUGGUGUUUUAUUUUGAUGGACAGAGGAAGAAAGGACUAGGAAAUGUGUCCUCAUCUGACAGCAGCAUAACCCAUAGACUGAUGAAAGUUCCUGCAGUCCUUCCUUCAUGACUUUCCUGAUGGAAUCUGAGCCCACUGCAAUCCAAAACUCUUUUAUUCAUUUUUUGUUUUAUAUGCUGGUAUAUAGCAGAGUGGCUGUCCUGUAGUAAGUACUUGCUAAUGAAUGCGUGAAUGAAUGAUAAGAUAAGGCAUAAAUUCACUCAAAAAUUCUAGACCUUUUCUUGCAUUGUGCUCCAAAACACAUUAAACAUGUACCAAUACAGAGAACUGCUUCAAAGAUACUAUGGCCUGUGAGUGUCUGCCACAAGCUAGCCACAUGACAAUGGCCAAGUCAUUUUACCUAUCAAAUCCUUAGUUUACUCAUCUAAUGAGAGAAUGGGACAAAAAGACUGAAAGCUCCAAAGAGGUUGGUCACAGUCUCACACUCCAGUUUGGAUUUGCAUGUGGAGGGAUUUUACUUACCAUAUCCCUUGCUCAUAAUCUGUAGCUCUUAUUUUUCAAGCAUCUCCCAGCACUGAUUUAAAAAAUUUGAUUUUUCUUCUUGAGGCAUUUAGUGAAAAGCACUGUGUUCCUUCCUAAUUUAUAACAAAACACUUGAGGAGAGAGUCUUGCCUUACAGUACAUGAGUUAUGAGGCCAGUGUUCAGCCUGCUAUUCCUUCCUUAGCUGAAUUCCAUUUUCUCCUUUCAAAGCUGCAGUAUUUCUUCUUUCUUGUAUGUCAAAUUAAUCUUUGUUCUUAAAAUUAUGACCACCAAGAGGAAACUUAACUUGUUGUGGUAAAGAAUUUGCUGGACUAAACAAAGCAUAUGUUUUACUUGACAUUCUAUUCUGCUGCAACAGAACAGCAAAUUGUCAUCUCCACUUUAGGGACCUGUCAUUGAAAGUAGCAGUGCUGAUUCUCAUUUUACAAAGAAGAGUUCUGGCUAACUAGACGGUCUUACUUAUGAAGGGUUGUCAUAUAUAACAAAUAUGGCAAAAUAUGACAGUAUAUUUGAAUUAUAUUAUAAUUAUAAUUAUAAUCUGUGCAUACUGAAAUUUUUAAAAACUACAUUAUGGAGCACAAAGAAAACUAGCUAGUGGUUUGGCUUUUGUUAAACCUUAUUUAACAUAUUCCUAUUUGAAAGCUUUGCCACUACCUAUCUUUUUCUUGUUGCUUUAGAAUUUUGCUAUACUCAUUUUCCCCUAGAAGAUUCCAAAGAUAUUGAGUACAUCUUAUCUGGGGAAGAGUUUGAUUGCUUUUGUUUUUUUCAAUCCUAUAAGUGAAUUCAUCUUACUGCAAAGUUGUAAAUGACAGUGCUGUGCUGUAGUUUGGAUGUUUGGCUCCCAAACCUCAUGUUGAUAUGUGAUCCCCAGUGUUGGAGGUGGGGCCUGGCGGGAGGUGUUUGGGUCAUGGGGGAAGGCUCCUCACUAAUGGCUUUGUGCUGUCCUCGCAGUAAUGACUGAGUUCUCACUUUACUGGUUCCCAUGAGAUCCAAUUGUUAAAAAGAGCCUGGCACCUCCCUCCCCUCCCUUGCUUCCUCCUUCAUCAUUUGAGCUCAGCACAACGGCUCUCCUUCACUUUCCACCAUGAGUGGAAGCAGCCUGAGGCCUCACCAGAAGCAGAGGCUGAUGCCAUGCUUCCUGUACAGCCUACAGAACUGUGAACCAAAUACACUUCAUUUUGUUAAAAUAAAUUACUCAACCUCAGGCAUUCCUUUAUAGCAAUGUAAAUGGACUGAGAUAGACAGUGAGAUAUCAAAAAGAAAAAAGGCAAGUUUUCCUUUGACGUCCCACUCCACCCAUGGUCUUUCCCAUAGUCAACACUUUGAUGUGCAAAGUUUUGAUAUAUUCUUUAAUUUACAUUAAAUAUGUAUGCACUCCUAAUUUGUUUUUGUUUUCUCUUUCUAACUAUAUGGUUCACCCUACGCUUAUUUUCUGCAACUUAUGUUUUUCAUGUCAAUAUUUC